GAGCUGACAAUCUAAUAAUGGCGUGUAGGGAAUGAUGGAUAGCUGCCUCUCAGGAGAAAUGAGGAGCACAAAGAUAAAAAAGAAAUAUUUUCAGAUGUCUAGAGGCCCUGCCAAUGGCAGAUCUUUUUUUUUUUUUUAAAUUUUAAUUUUUUUUUUUUUUUUUUUUUUUUUUUUUUUUUUUUUUUUUUUUUUUUUUUUUUUUUUUUUUUUUCUUUUUUUUUUUUUUUUUUUUUUUUUUUUUUUUUUUUUUUUUUUUUUUUUUUUUUUUUUUUUUCCCCCCCCCCCCCCCCCCCCCCGUGUGCAGUUCUAUCUACCUGUCUAUCCAUCUAAAUUGUAGUAAGUUCCUCUGGAGGUUUGGGGUAGAGAGAAAACUUAUGAUUUCUACCCAGCUAAAAAUAUUGCUAUUGAAGAGAAUCAACAUGCUGUUGCUUUUGAGAAGAUACGGAUAAGGAGAGGGUACUGUGGAGGAGAGUAGUGGCAGGUCAGGCAGGGGAAGAAACACACAUGGGUG
Molecule: long non-coding RNA, 511 nt
Filed under: Monodelphis domestica (gray short-tailed opossum)
Lineage: Eukaryota; Metazoa; Chordata; Mammalia; Didelphimorphia; Didelphidae
Description: lncRNA (ENSMODG00000040260.1)
Source: RNAcentral